This is a long non-coding RNA of Suricata suricatta (meerkat), 365 nucleotides long. RefSeq lists it as uncharacterized. The transcript has 2 exons. The record is from RefSeq and is a predicted model, not a curated record. Lineage: Eukaryota; Metazoa; Chordata; Mammalia; Carnivora; Herpestidae.
GACAAGUGCUCCUGCCCCGACUCUGAGUAGCCAUAGUUCAAACCUUUACCUGCACAGAUCCUGUGGCUGCAGGCAGGAGGCCAGCAUCCACAGAGGGCUGCUCGCGGACGUCACUUUGGUCCACAAUAGCCUUCGCGUGACAAAAACUUCCUGGAAGAUCCAGUGACUCUUCAACGGCAAGCAUCAAGAGGUCGUUUGCACCCUGAGAGUCUUUGAAUCCCUGCCUCAACCUUCUCCCCUUGCUGGUCCUAACUAAUCCUGGACAGUGGUGCUCCCGUCGGUCUGCGGUCCUGGCGCAGCCCCUACUAUGCAAAGCCUGCCUUGAACCGAACAUCUCAAUAAAUUCUGACCUUGCCUUCCUCUGA